Molecule: long non-coding RNA, 248 nt
Filed under: Coturnix japonica (Japanese quail)
Lineage: Eukaryota; Metazoa; Chordata; Aves; Galliformes; Phasianidae
Description: lncRNA (ENSCJPG00005016383.1)
Source: RNAcentral
CCAGCAGUGAGUGCAGCGUGGGCUUUCAGCUGCAGAUCUCUUGGCCUUGGGAGUGAACCCUACUAAGAUGCAGUGGAAAAGCUAACGAUGGGAUCAAGCUGGCUGUGCUGGCAUUUUGAUUUGAUGGAAAACAUUUCUUGGCUCUAAUUUUGAAUGCUUUGUGGCCUCAAGGAGCAACUAAUACAUCAGCUGAAUUCUUAAGGCAUUACCAUGGGAAUUUUCCCUUUCUGGGGAUUGUAACAGAGCUC